This 355-nucleotide ribosomal RNA is filed under the name uncultured Thauera sp. Its description in RNAcentral is "bacterial SSU rRNA". It matches the Rfam family "Bacterial small subunit ribosomal RNA", at positions 1026 to 1382 of the family's 1533-position model. The record is from RNAcentral. Lineage: Bacteria; Pseudomonadati; Pseudomonadota; Betaproteobacteria; Rhodocyclales; Zoogloeaceae.
GCCAGAACACAGGUGCUGCAUGGCUGUCGUCAGCUCGUGUCGUGAGAUGUUGGGUUAAGUCCCGCAACGAGCGCAACCCUUGUCAUUAGUUGCCAUCAUUUAGUUGGGCACUCUAAUGAGACUGCCGGUGACAAACCGGAGGAAGGUGGGGAUGACGUCAAGUCCUCAUGGCCCUUAUGGGUAGGGCUUCACACGUCAUACAAUGGUCGGUACAGAGGGUUGCCAAGCCGCGAGGUGGAGCCAAUCCCUUAAAGCCGAUCGUAGUCCGGAUCGUAGUCUGCAACUCGACUACGUGAAGUCGGAAUCGCUAGUAAUCGCAGAUCAGCACGCCGCGGUGAAUACGUUCCCGGGCCUU